Molecule: ribosomal RNA, 439 nt
Filed under: uncultured bacterium
Lineage: Bacteria
Description: partial 16S ribosomal RNA
Rfam family: Bacterial small subunit ribosomal RNA
Source: RNAcentral
CUACGGGUUGCACCAGUGGGGAAUAUUGCACAAUGGGGGAAACCCUGAUGCAGCAACGCCGCGUGGAGGAUGACACAUUUCGGUGCGUAAACUCCUUUUAUAUAGGAAGAUAAUGACGGUACUAUAUGAAUAAGCACCGGCUAACUCCGUGCCAGCAGCCGCGGUAAUACGGAGGGUGCAAGCGUUACUCGGAAUUACUGGGCGUAAAGAGCGUGUAGGCGGGUUUGUAAGUUGGAUGUGAAAUCCUAUGGCUCAACCAUAGAACUGCAUCCAAAACUACUUACCUAGAGUGUGGGAGAGGUAGAUGGAAUUUCUGGUGUAGGGGUAAAAUCCGUAGAGAUCAGAAGGAAUACCGAUUGCGAAGGCGAUCUACUGGAACAUAACUGACGCUGAGACGCGAAAGCGUGGGGAGCAAACAGGAUUAGAUACCCCCGUAGUC